Callithrix jacchus (white-tufted-ear marmoset) is the source of this 4001-nucleotide long non-coding RNA. RefSeq lists it as uncharacterized. The record is from RefSeq and is a predicted model, not a curated record. NCBI's taxonomy places the organism in Eukaryota, Metazoa, Chordata, Mammalia, Primates, Cebidae.
CCCGCCGGGGAAGGAAGGGUCGGCGCGUGCGCACUGACGGGCGGCUCCCGGCGCCGUGAGCGGGUGCUGAGAGUCCGGGAUAAGGAGGCCGCGCCGUCCCCUCUCUAAAUGCCCCGGCCCAGGGCGGCAGGCCCGGCUGAAGGCGACCCCGGCCGAGAAAGGACCCCUACCCUCCCGCCUCCCGGCUCCGGGCUCCCGCCUUGUCCUCCGCUCUCGCCGGCCCCAGGGGAGGCGCUGCGCGGACCGGGCGUGAAGCGUCCCGGAGCCCUGGAGGCCUGGCUGGGCGGAGGGUUGGGCGCCAGGGAGUUCAGAGCUCUCUCGUUCAGGGACUCGAGAAUGUCACGCGUGGGAUCGCUUUGCAACCCACGCCCGCGUCCCAGCCCCGGGUCUCCCUCACCCCAGCACCCUCCCCUCAGGUGCCUGACCGAGCCCAGGUCGCCCCUGGCCUCCCCCUGGCCAGACUUCAGAAAGCACUAGGCACUGCCUCCUCUCCACCUGUCUCUCUGACCCCAGACGCAGUGGGAGGGAGCGGAGGUGGUGGGGCGCUGGGAUGGGACGCUGGGGGCGGGCACACGGCCCACCGCCUCCCUGAGAGGCAGCCGAGAACAGUGGGGAGCUGAGGGUGAUCCCUUGAUGGGGGAUCGGGAGGUGGACCUCACCACCAAGCUGCCCCUGGCCUUCUUCCCGCCCCCCCAAGACGGAGUUUCGCUCUUGUUACCCAGGCUGGAGUGCAAUGGCGCAAUCUCUGCUCACUGCAACCUCCGCCUCCUGGGCUCAGGCAAUUCUCCUGUCUCAGCCUCUUGAGCAGCUGGAAUUACAGGCAGCGCCACCAUGCCCAGCUAAUUUUUUGUAUUUUUAGUAGAGACGGGGUUUCACCAUGUUGACCAGGAUGGUCUCGAUCUUUUGACCUCAUGAUCCACCCGCCUCGGCCUCCCAAAGUGCUGGGAUUACAGGCUUGAGCCACCACGCCCGACCGCCCGUGGCCUUCUUCACCCCAAUCCUGACUGCCCCUCGGAGACAACCACAGGUCAGCAAGGUGGCCGAACACUGAGGGUCAUCCCGCGGUGGCUGUGGGCAGAGGACAGGUGGCGUCCAUGCUCAGCCCCGACUCUGCCCCUCCGGGACACCUUAGCAGGUCUGAGACACUGCUGCAGGCCCUGGGGCAGAAGCCAGGAGGAGUGUCCACGCGGCCUCAGCCCAUGGAAUCCAGCCUGCUUCCACGCCUGCCGCCACCAGCUCCACCUUCAGAAAACAUCUCAGCGUCAAGCCUCCUUCCUGUGCCUCCUCUCAGGCCCCUGCCGUUCCCAUGCAGGGCAGGCCGAGCUGCUAUUACAGCAUGGAAAGUUAUGUAAGGGAAGCCAUGCUGGCCGCAGAUACAGGCACCAGCAGGUCCAGUUGUGUGUACACUCACGGCUGUGGCCCACGGCAGAUCAAGGCCUGCCCCUGCCUCAUCUGUCCCUCAGUAACAAUGAGUGUGAAGAGAAGAUACCUGUGAGUCCCUGCAGGUAGGAAGGCUGCAGCAUGAGGCUCAGCUCAGAGGCCUCUGCUCAGGAGCGCAGCUGAGUCACACCCCAGGGAAGGUACCUGGGACAGGUGUGGCCAGCACGUAUUGCCAAGACCCCACCAUGGCCCUUACCCCACCCACCCACAUCUGUGGCCUUCUGGUAAGCAGGACUCAGGCUGCCCAGGCCUCUAGCCGUAGACCUGAUGGCCUUAGCCAGCGGGAACGGCACAAGCAGCUAAGUUGGUGGUAGAUGGUACCUGUAACCUUCUCAACCCUGAGACUGUCCUCUGAGGCCAGGAGCCGCCCUUCUGCUGUGGGUCAGACCUCAGGAGGGCUUCAUCUGGCAGAACAACGGGGACCACCCAGCGUCUUGGGCAGCGGGGGACACUCUGCUUUAGGGUCCCAAGAAAACAUCAUCCCCAACCCAGUUGCUACCUCCUGCCGCCGCCUCCUCCGGCACCCAGGGUCGGACCAGAAAGCCUUGGCUACCUCUGACCAGCAGGCACUGUCUGGCCAGGGCUUGAAGGAGAGAGAAACCCAGCCUGGAGGGUGCAAACCCAAAAGCAUCUGAGGCAGACUUCAGGCCUGUGCUGAUGUGAAUGCUGGUCAGCUUUUCCUGAAAUUCCAAAAGAGAAGAGGCAUGAGGCAUGACCCACAACACCUUCCCAUCACAGCCUGGACAAGUUUAACAGACCAAGUUUCGCUGUUGUUACCCAGACUGUAGUGCAAUGGUGCAAUCUCGGCUCACCGCAACCUCCGCCUCCUGGGUUCAAGCAAUUCUCCUGCCUCAGCCUCCCCAGUAGCUGGGACUACAGGCGUGCACCACCAUGCGCAGCUAAUUUUUGUAUUUUCAGUAGAGAUGGGUUUCACCUUGUUGACCAGGAUUGUCUCAAUCUCUUGACCUCGUGAUCCACCUGCCUCGGACUCCCAAAGUGCUGGGAUUAUAGGCAUGAGCCACCGCGCCCAGCCAGAAUUUCAUUUUUUAUUUACAUUCACCCUCUUCUGGCCAAGAUGUGCCAAAGCCAACAUCAAUGGCUACCACAUCUUUACUGUGUCCCACAGGAUUGCUGGGCUAGUGUGGCUGCCAGCCCUGGAUCAAUCCUGUCUCUUCGUGGGACUCCCUAUGACCCAGGAACUUAGAGUCAAAAGAUUUACAGCCAAUUAAAUUUUCUAGGCCAGAUAGGAAUGGACAUGGACCGGCAUUCAUUACCCUUUAAAACAAUUUUUUUUUUUUUGAGAUGGAGUCUCAUUCUAUCGCCUAGGCUUGAGUGCAAUAGCAUGAUCUUGGCUCCCUGAAACCUCUGCCUCCCAGGUUCAAGUGAGUCUGCUGCCUCAGACUCUUGAGCAGCUGGAACUACAGGCAUGCUUCACCAUGCCUGGAUAAUUUUUGUAUUUUUGUAGACAGGGUUUCACCUUGUUGGCCAGGCUGGUCUUGAACUCCUGACCUCAAGUGAUCUACCCUUCUCAGCCUUCCAAAGUGCUGGGGGAUAACAGGCGUGAGCCACCAUGACCAAUCUAUCAUGUAACAAUUUUAUAAAUUCCUUUUUUACUAAACUUGCACAGACCAUUUAUGACAUGCUUGAACUUUCUACUUUGUCCUGAACAUCUCUCUUAACCAGUAAUUUAUUUAUUUAUUUAUUUAUUUAUCUUUUUUGAGAUGGUGUCUUGCUCUAUGCCCAAGCUGGAGUGCAGUGGCUCAAUCUCAGCUCACCACAAUCUCUGCCUCCCGGGUUCAAAUGAUUCUCCUGCCCCAGCCCCCCGAGUAGCUGGGACUACAGGCAUGCACAACCAUACCCAACUAAUUGUUGUAUUUUUAAUAGAAACAGGGUUUCACUAUGUUGGCCAGGCUGGUCUCAAGCCCCUGACCUCAUGAUCCUCCCACCUUGGCCUCCCAACAUGUUGGGAUUACAGGAGUGAAUCACCACACCCAGCCUAGUCAUUUAUUUUAGGACAAAAAUUCGCCAUGCAAGAUUCUUUCUCAGAUAAAAGUAUUUUUCUUGUAACGUUUCUUAACAAAAAUACUUCUUUAUAUCUAUAACUUCUCUUGGUCUCUCUCUUAUUUCCUUGUUCUAGGCGCCACCAUGCUCGGAUAAUUUUUGUGUUUUUGUAGAGACAGGGUUUCACCAUGUUGGCCAGGCUGGUUUUGAACUCCUGACCUCAGGUGAUCCACCUGCCUUGGCCUCCCAAAGUGCUGGGAUUACAGGCGUGAGCCACUUCGCCCAGCCAGCAACUCUAUAGUUCUGGAGUUGCAGGCUGACCUUUGGGCUCUGAAUGCUUCCUGGAUGGAAUUUGCCCAUCAGUUUAAAAUAUGUCAGAAAGACCAUAAUAUGGAACCAGCCAGGCCCUAAGAAACCUGGCAUGCUCUCAAAAUUUUCAGUUUUAUACAAACACUUGCCAGUAGCAGCACCAUAAAACCAGCAAGGUGCCCGAAAGGGGGCCAUUCUCUUGUCUUUCCUGAGUCUUAGAUGAUUUAUUUCCCACUUUUUUUUUUCCUCAG